UCCACAGUUUCUGUUUAUCAGCCCCAUGUUGAUCUGUUGUCUUGUUUACGAUGCGGUCUUGUCGUGAUUUCUCGGAAGCGAGAUUGGAGCGAUAAGCUUAAAGUAGGUUGAACCGGGCCAGGCGAGAAAUCGAGCAGCUCACAAACUUCGGCACAUCGAGUUUCAAGAUCGCGACGGAGAGUGGGUGGC
Molecule: signal recognition particle RNA, 189 nt
Filed under: Paramoeba aestuarina
Lineage: Eukaryota; Discosea; Flabellinia; Dactylopodida; Paramoebidae
Description: partial Metazoan signal recognition particle RNA
Rfam family: Metazoan signal recognition particle RNA (bases 23-185)
About the family: The signal recognition particle (SRP) is a universally conserved ribonucleoprotein. It is involved in the co-translational targeting of proteins to membranes. The eukaryotic SRP consists of a 300-nucleotide 7S RNA and six proteins: SRPs 72, 68, 54, 19, 14, and 9.
Source: RNAcentral